UCCUACGGGAGGCAGCAGUGGGGAAUCUUGCGCAAUGGGCGAAAGCCUGACGCAGCCAUGCCGCGUGAAUGAUGAAGGUCUUAGGAUUGUAAAAUUCUUUCACCGGGGACGAUAAUGACGGUACCCGGAGAAGAAGCCCCGGCUAACUUCGUGCCAGCAGCCGCGGUAAUACGAAGGGGGCUAGCGUUGCUCGGAAUUACUGGGCGUAAAGGGCGCGUAGGCGGACAUUUAAGUCAGGGGUGAAAUCCCAGAGCUCAACUCUGGAACUGCCUUUGAUACUGGGUGUCUUGAGUGUGAGAGAGGUAUGUGGAACUCCGAGUGUAGAGGUGAAAUUCGUAGAUAUUCGGAAGAACACCAGUGGCGAAGGCGACAUACUGGCUCAUUACUGACGCUGAGGCGCGAAAGCGUGGGGAGCAAACAGGAUUAGAUACCCUGGUAG
Molecule: ribosomal RNA, 439 nt
Filed under: uncultured bacterium
Lineage: Bacteria
Description: bacterial SSU rRNA
Rfam family: Bacterial small subunit ribosomal RNA
Source: RNAcentral